Ornithorhynchus anatinus (platypus) is the source of this 838-nucleotide long non-coding RNA. RefSeq lists it as uncharacterized. The transcript has 2 exons. The record is from RefSeq and is a predicted model, not a curated record. NCBI's taxonomy places the organism in Eukaryota, Metazoa, Chordata, Mammalia, Monotremata, Ornithorhynchidae.
UAUUGCUUGUGCUAUUUACAGCAGUUACAUCUGUCGGGAAUGGAAACACGCUUAUAGAUUGCAAGGAAAAUCACCCGCUAAAGCUAGCAGGUGACCAGUGGAGAACCGUGGUGAGGAGGUCUUCGGGCAGAGAAUUAUACUCAGGAGGCUCCAGAAGAGAGGAGGGAUAUGGAGGGAUUGGACUCGCCGCUCACAGAGUUAUCAAACACCGUUGCCAGAUAUUUUAUAGCAGCAUCUCACUGACGGAAAUGGUGAGAAUCAGAGCUGUCAUGGCAGCAACACGCAGCUCUGUAAAUGCCAUUCAUCAUGAGUUCCUAAAGAAUCUGGGAAAGGAUCCCAGUUCUAAUGGAACACAGCUGUUUAGACUAAUGAGCAUUACUCACUCAGUUAUCAUUCCUCUGAUAUUCCCCGAAGAUCGGAAAUGAUUUGAACUGACUUUCUCUUUCACAGGCAUGGGCUUAGUAGUACAUACACCUCAUUCUUUCUGAACUAUCUACACACACAACCAGAGCCCCACAGUUUCGGGUUGCGAUCUUGGGGAGUCUGCUCGUGCACGCUUUCUUCUUUUUCUGCCGCUGCCUCACGCUGUAUCCUGGCAGGCGUGCCUCAUCAGAACAAGUCUUCCUAACUCUGCCCGCCUUCUAGUCCAAAAAUGUCGUGAGAAGAAGCGGGAUGGCACAGCUGACUGUACAAGCAUUUGUAUGACACAGCAUUUGUACGUCUGGGGAGAGCCCAUCUUUGCGCGUAAGUGUGGCCAGAGGGCGGCUGAGUGACCAACGCCUUUGGAACGUGACGCUCCCUUCCUCGCAAAAUAAAGGUUGGAAUAGAGUGAGGCAGA